ACGCCAAGCGUCGGCGGAGAGCUGCCUUGGCCGAGUGCUGCGCGGCGGUGCCUCAGCUUGACUCCUCCGGCGUAGGGCAGGCGAUUCAUCUUGGCGUGGCCGUGGAGAAGGGAAGGGCGUAGCAACCCCGAUGACGGAGGGAAAGACGAAGGCUUCGGCGUCGACGGUGCGUCGAUCCGCCCUUCGUGGUUGGUUUUUAUGGUCUUCUCCUUUCGAUUCGGCAAAUGAGAACCUCCUUGUCUGCCCUUUUGCUUACCACGCUUGGAUCCUCGCGGCUGAGGUAGGCUUCUGUGGACAUUGGAUGACAUUUAGGGUUUCUUUUACGACCGCGGAGAAAUAUCUGAGGUUUUAUUAGGCUGAGAAUGCAGACAUGAUAUGAUGGAAAGAAGGGUGAAAUGUGACUAGGAGAAUUCCAUGAUCGGAAAUGAUAAAGGGAAGUAAAUUAGGAAAAGGGUGACAAUGCAAAACUGGGAUGGCAGAAUAGACAUUGUGCUGCUUUAGAAAAACAUCAAAAACAUAAAAAUUGAGGAUGAAAAGUGAUAGCGAUAAUACUGGAAUCCUCUACUAUCGUGGACUAAAUAUGAGAACCAACGAUUAUUAACGAUAGGAAUCCACCAUCCUGCUUCCUUCACUACGUAGACCAGACAAUAGAGACACGGGGACCAACGAUCAUUAAUGACAGUAAGUCUCAACUUUUUUUUGGACAUAUCUUGGCUAACAUCUUGAGUUAUGCCAGCUAUGCCUCGACAUUAAAUGCUGGCUCACUUGCUCACUUGCUCUUAUCGAUAGCUUAUAUAGUUUGUUAUGUUAAAUGCUGCACCAUGUCUUCAUAAUUUAAAUGCCUUCAUGAACUAUUUAUGAUCUAUAUAUUUCUAUAUCCAUCAUCACUCGUCUAGUUUAAGGAAAUGCCUGAAAAUGGAUCAAGAAUUUUUUAAGAAUGAUUUGCUGGCAUAAACAUCAUCUCCACUUGUUUAUGCAAACUACCGACAGUAGAUAUUUGUAAUGAUAUUAUGGAUGAAAUUGUGGAGACUCAAAGUCAAAGUAGUUUAUGAAAUAUUUGUUAUUCGUUCCGAGAAAAAGAAUGCUGAGUAGUCUUUGCAAUUUGUUUCUGACUACAUCAAAAAGUUUGAGUUUUUCUAGUAAGUGGUUUAGUCUUUUUGACUGCUUGCUUAUUUUGCUUGUGUAGAGACCAGCCAAGGUUAGCUGGAACAAACUAUCUUCUUCAAGUGGCUGCACAAAUAUGAAUCUGAGCAUUGCUCAAACAGUGUCCACUGGAUAGUCCUUUUUUCCUUUUUCAGACUUGACAACACCAGAGGAAUUGCCAAUGAGAUUCAAUCAUCAUCAUAGAGUAGUCCCUUUAAGAAGUAUGCAACUUGAUUUCUACAAUCUUAAACCUUUCUUUUUGUGAUCAUCGAGUUUGUC
Molecule: long non-coding RNA, 1422 nt
Filed under: Musa acuminata (dwarf banana)
Lineage: Eukaryota; Viridiplantae; Streptophyta; Magnoliopsida; Zingiberales; Musaceae
Description: long non-coding RNA (MACU_LNC004821)
Source: RNAcentral